CAAGUCGAACGGCAGUAGAACCAGCAAUGGGACUAUGAGAGUGGCGAACGGGUGCGUAACGCGUAUGCAACUUACCUCCAACUGGGGAAUAGCCCUGGGAAACCGGGAUUAACACCGCAUAAGAUGGUAGAACCGCAUGGUUCAGCCAUUAAAGUUUACGGUUGGAGAUGGGCAUGCGUGCCAUUAGCUAGUUGGCGGGGUAAUAGCCCACCAAGGCGACGAUGGCUAGGGGGUCUGAGAGGAUGAUCCCCCACACUGGUACUGAGAUACGGACCAGACUCCUACGGGAGGCAGCAGUAGGGAAUAUUGGUCAAUGGACGCAAGUCUGAACCAGCCAUGCCGCGUGCAGGAUGAAGGCGCUCUGCGUUGUAAACUGCUUUUGUACGGGAAGAAUAUAUCGUUUGCGAACGGUUUUGACGGUACCGUAAGAAUAAGGAUCGGCUAACUACGUGCCAGCAGCCGCGGUAAUACGUAGGAUCCAAGCGUUGUCCGGAUUUAUUGGGUUUAAAGGGUGCGCAGGCGGCCUGAUAAGUCAGUGGUGAAAGCCCGUUGCUUAACAACGGAACUGCCAUUGAUACUGUCGGGCUUGAGUACAGUUGAGGUUGGCGGAAUGUAUCAUGUAGCGGUGAAA
This 631-nucleotide ribosomal RNA is filed under the name uncultured Sphingobacteriales bacterium. RNAcentral describes it as "bacterial SSU rRNA". It matches the Rfam family "Bacterial small subunit ribosomal RNA", at positions 58 to 686 of the family's 1533-position model. The record is from RNAcentral. Lineage: Bacteria; Pseudomonadati; Bacteroidota; Sphingobacteriia; Sphingobacteriales.